RNAcentral lists this transfer RNA (73 nucleotides) under Capsicum annuum. It matches the Rfam family "tRNA". Rfam says of the family: Transfer RNA (tRNA) molecules are approximately 80 nucleotides in length. Their secondary structure includes four short double-helical elements and three loops (D, anti-codon, and T loops). Lineage: Eukaryota; Viridiplantae; Streptophyta; Magnoliopsida; Solanales; Solanaceae. The record is from Rfam by way of RNAcentral. RNAcentral also lists the same sequence under 1 other name.
GCGGAAAUAACUUAAUGGUAAAGCAUAACCUUGCCAAGGCUGAGGUUGAGGGUUUUAAGUCCCUCCUUUUGCU